AUCCUGUCGACGAGUCCCAAAUGGGACGAAAUUCGCAUCCGGGAU
This 45-nucleotide non-coding RNA is filed under the name Trichobilharzia regenti. The record is from RNAcentral. Lineage: Eukaryota; Metazoa; Platyhelminthes; Trematoda; Strigeidida; Schistosomatidae.